RNAcentral lists this unclassified non-coding RNA (154 nucleotides) under uncultured Hypocreales. RNAcentral's name for it is "sequence contains ITS1". Lineage: Eukaryota; Fungi; Ascomycota; Sordariomycetes; Hypocreales. The record is from RNAcentral.
UCGAGUUUAACAACUCCCAAACCUUUGUGAACAUACCACUGUUGCUUCGGCGGUCGCACCAGGUGUCUCCCGGCAUCUGGAUAUCCGUGGCCGCCGAGGGUAUCAAACUCUUGUCUUUACAGCGGACUUCUGAGUACAAAACAAAAAUAAAUCA